ACCAGCAUAGUGAAGUGGUUUAAUCACUGGACUACAACUCUGGAGACCAGGGUUUAAAUCCCUGUGCAGCCA
Phrynosoma platyrhinos (Desert horned lizard) is the source of this 72-nucleotide non-coding RNA. The record is from the annotation of a GenBank genome assembly. Lineage: Eukaryota; Metazoa; Chordata; Lepidosauria; Squamata; Phrynosomatidae.